CAGCCCGGUAAUUCCAGCUCCAAUAGCGUAUAUUAAAGUUGUUGCAGUUAAAAAGCUCGUAGUUGAAUUUCGGGGUUAGUAGGUUGGUCAUGCCUCUGGUAUGUACUGGUCUCACUGAUUCCUCCUUCCUGAUGAGCCGUAAUGCCAUUAAUUUGGUGUUGCGGGGAAUUUGGACUGUUACUUUGAAAAAAUUAGAGUGUUUAAAGCAAGCUAACGCUUGAAUACAUUAGCAUGGAAUAAUGAAAUAGGACGUUCGAUCCUAUUUUGUUGGUUUCUAGGAUUGACGUAAUGAUUAAUAGGGAUAGUUGGGGGCAUUAGUAUUCAAUUGUCAGAGGUGAAAUUCUUUGAUUUAUUGAAGACUAACUACUGCGAAAGCAUUUGCCAAGGAUGUUUUCAUUAAUCAAGAACGAAAGUUAGGGGAUCGAAGACGAUCAGAUACCGUCGUAGUCUUAACCAUAAACUAUGCCGACUAGGGAUCGGAUGAUGUUAAUUUUUUAAUGACUCAUUCGGCGCCUUACG
RNAcentral lists this unclassified non-coding RNA (519 nucleotides) under uncultured Glomeromycotina. Its description in RNAcentral is "SSU rRNA". It matches the Rfam family "Eukaryotic small subunit ribosomal RNA", at positions 571 to 1092 of the family's 1831-position model. The record is from RNAcentral. Lineage: Eukaryota; Fungi; Glomeromycota.